GGCUGCAACUCGCCUACAUGAAGUCGGAAUUGCUAGUAAUCGCGGAUCAGCAUGCCGCGGUGAAUACGUUCCCGGGCCUUGUACACACCGCCCGUCACACCAUGAGAGCCGGUAACACCCGAAGUCAGUAGCCUAACCGCAAGGGGGGCGCUGCCGAAGGUGGGAUUGGUAAUUGGGGUGAAGUCGUAACAAGGUAUC
RNAcentral lists this ribosomal RNA (198 nucleotides) under uncultured bacterium. Its description in RNAcentral is "partial 16S ribosomal RNA". It matches the Rfam family "Bacterial small subunit ribosomal RNA", at positions 1303 to 1500 of the family's 1533-position model. The record is from RNAcentral.